GCUGAGAUGUCCGAGCGGUCUAAGGAGCUGGAUUCAAGCUUAGCUUUCACGCGCACGUGAAAAUCCCAGUAGGGUAACCUGCGGGGGUUCGAAUCCCCCUCUCAGCA
Transfer RNA from Puccinia sorghi, 107 nucleotides. It matches the Rfam family "tRNA". From Rfam's summary of the family: Transfer RNA (tRNA) molecules are approximately 80 nucleotides in length. Their secondary structure includes four short double-helical elements and three loops (D, anti-codon, and T loops). Further hydrogen bonds mediate the characteristic L-shaped molecular structure. tRNAs have two regions of fundamental functional importance: the anti-codon, which is responsible for specific mRNA codon recognition, and the 3' end, to which the tRNAs corresponding amino acid is attached (by aminoacyl-tRNA synthetases). tRNAs cope with the degeneracy of the genetic code in two manners: having more than one tRNA (with a specific anti-codon) for a particular amino acid; and 'wobble' base-pairing, i.e. permitting non-standard base-pairing at the 3rd anti-codon position. The record is from Rfam. Lineage: Eukaryota; Fungi; Basidiomycota; Pucciniomycetes; Pucciniales; Pucciniaceae.